This 492-nucleotide ribosomal RNA is filed under the name uncultured bacterium. RNAcentral describes it as "partial 16S ribosomal RNA". It matches the Rfam family "Bacterial small subunit ribosomal RNA", at positions 29 to 507 of the family's 1533-position model. The record is from RNAcentral.
AGUGAACGCUGGCGGCAGGCCUAACACAUGCAAGUCGAACGGCAGCACAGUAAGAGCUUGCUCUUACGGGUGGCGCGCGGCGGACGGGUGAGGAAUACAUCGGAUACCACUUUUACGUGGGUGGUAACGUAGGGAAAGUUAUGCUAAUACCGCAUAUGUCGUACGGGUGAAAGCAGGGGACCUUUGGACUUUUUGCGAUUGUAUGAGCCGAUGUCGGAUUAGCUAGUUGGCGGGGUAAAGGCCCACCAAGGCGACGAUCCGUAGCUGGUCUGAGAGGAUGAUCAGCGACACUGGAACUGAGACACGGUCCAGACUCCUACGGGAGGCAGCAGUGGGGAAUCUUGCGCAAUGGGGGAAAGCCUGAUCCAGCGAAACCGCGUGAGUGAUGAAGGCCUUCGGGUUGUAAAACCCUGUUGUUGGGAGAGAAGAAAAGCUGGUUAAUCGCCGACUGUACUGACGGUACCCAAAGAAUAAGCCCCGGCUAACUUCGUG